ACCGCCUGGGGAGUACGGUCGCAAGAUUAAAACUCAAAUGAAUUGACGGGGGCCCGCACAAGCGGUGGAGCAUGUGGUUUAAUUCGAUGCAACGCGAAGAACCUUACCUACUCUUGACAUCCAGAGAACUUUCCAGAGAUGGAUUGGUGCCUUCGGGAACUCUGAGACAGGUGCUGCAUGGCUGUCGUCAGCUCGUGUCGGGAGAUGUUG
This 210-nucleotide ribosomal RNA is filed under the name Vibrio sp. a7p10. RNAcentral describes it as "partial 16S ribosomal RNA". It matches the Rfam family "Bacterial small subunit ribosomal RNA", at positions 868 to 1077 of the family's 1533-position model. The record is from RNAcentral. Lineage: Bacteria; Pseudomonadati; Pseudomonadota; Gammaproteobacteria; Vibrionales; Vibrionaceae.